Apis cerana (Asiatic honeybee) is the source of this 5659-nucleotide long non-coding RNA. RefSeq lists it as uncharacterized. NCBI's taxonomy places the organism in Eukaryota, Metazoa, Arthropoda, Insecta, Hymenoptera, Apidae. The record is from RefSeq and is a predicted model, not a curated record.
AAUAUUUAUAUGUCUCAAUUUUAAGCGUUUAUCGCAUUCUUCUCUCAUAAUUAAUUUUCUAACGGAUUUUUAUUAACAUUGUAUAUCGGUUUAAUUUCUUCAUUACCGAAAUAAUCUAAUUUCGAAAGAAGCAAACGAUUUGCUUAAAGUUACGCUUAUGACGUCACGCUGCAGAGCGACGCGCGCAUCUCUUCGAUAAUCGAUAAUUAAAAAAUCGCGAUCAAGUAAAAUUUCGAUAAUCGAAGGAGUGUCAUGGUGGAAUUUCUAACGGGUACCGCGGCACAGUGACGCUUUGAUAAAAAAUUUGAGAAAAUAUCGUUUUGCAUCCAAAUAUUCGCUUCUGUCGUUCGUAUCACGUAUACGGGAAGUGCAUAUAAGUGAAAUUUAAUUUACAAUAUGUGUAUUUAUUGUAUGGAGAAGGAAUAAGCCAGCAUAUACUUUUCCUCGUACUGUCUUCCAUCAACCUUGUCUACAAAAGGUGAAUCUCGCCAUACUUUUUUACCAAUUAUUUACGUUCGUCGAAUGAUUAAUCUUUCAAGGAAUUUUUAAUACUAUAUAUUUAACUUCGAUAAGAAACAAAAUGUGUAGAUUAGGAUAUCGAAUUUGCAACUCGAUGAGAGUGAGUGAGAGAACACGUUCGUGUGCGCAAGAAAGAGUAAGAGAGAAAUGGCAAAACUUGUGAAUUAACCGUUGAAACACGCGGGCAGAGUUACGUAAGGGUCUCGUUGCAUCGUGUACGCGUGCGUUUCUUCUAUCCACGUGCUGUACGCGCUCGUUAGAAGUGAAUGUCAGCCGCUUAUAUCGCGGAAGCCCCUUACCAUCCGGGUAAAUAUGUCGACGUAUACGUGAAUCUCUUCUAAUCACGUACUCCUGGUCGAGAAACGUGCCUCUAUGACCUCGCACAGUUGUAGUUUUACAAUCUGUCAAGUCUGCCGCCUGUCCUUCCCUCUAUCGAUUAUAUAUCUUAUACCUUAAAUUAUCUUCGUGUCGGCUGCGUCACGGUUAGUUAGAAAUUGUUCCACUCCAUGUUUCUGGGAAACACGACCAAUAUCGACGUUUCAUAAUGCAGAGUCGGAGACGAAGAAGAGAAGGUAAUCGACCAUCUUCUCCGACUACACAUUUCGAGGAACCGAAUCACUCGACUCGGAUACACGACACAUUCUCGGUGAGUCAUAUUUAGCCAUUACAUGUUUCUUUAUGUGUAUAUUAGCGUGCACUAACGGGAGCCCUAAGAGCUCAUGCUUACGCGUGACGCGAUCGUGUAUAUGGAAGUACAGUGAAACGCGCACGCACGUGUGCGCAUAUACCAGGAACGUAACACGGAGGGACGAGGUUGUCGCCCCCUUCUCGUGAAACUGGAAAAUUUAUCGAGAGCAACGAACACACGCUGCCCGACCUAAAACUUUAUGGCCCCUCGUAAAUGCUGGUGAACGAUUCGUUAGAGAAUAAUAGACGCAGAGACCGGUAUUCUGAAAUUAUCGAAUGGCUGUAGAAUCGCAAUUAGGAUAAUUUUGCAACGUUAACAAUUGUACAUAAUUUUGCUCAAACGAUCGAUAAAAAUGCAGAAAUUUCCACGUCUCGGUGGGAAAACGGUAAUUAUAAACGCGAGAACGUAGCGAAACUAGUAUUCGAUUGUGCAAACUGUCCUAUAACGGGAAGAUCGUAUCGAUAAACGGUAUGUGUGCGGUUUUCGUUCUCUGUGGGGUCAAUAUUUCUCCAUGGAGAUAAUAAUAGCAAACCUUUGGCGCGCGUCACGCACACAUGAAAUAAUUACGUAGUAUUGGGCAAGCGUUGGAAUUGAUCCGAGCGGCGCGCGAGUCGCGUUAAACGUUAUUACUAUUCCUUCCUAUUCUCGAAUUCGCAUUUCGGCCAUCACGCUUCCAUGAAAUAAUAACAUUGCCCCACGAUAUCCGUAAACGACGAAACGACGCGUAUAGGAUAUACUUUUACGUGCUGGCCAGGAAUUCCUGUUCUUUGAAUGCAUUGAGAAGAAAAUUUGUUGUUUUUUCUUGUCCGAAGUGUCAAUAAUCUAUCUAUAUUUACAAUCUCACUUGUAAACUUUUCGGCCUCGUAUUUCGUAUUUAAGGAGAACUCGAUACUCGUGAUCGACUAUCGCGAUUCAAGUGAUCGCGACCGAUAAAUGAGGGAUCGAUUCGCGCAUGCGUAGACAGAUUGCAACGGCGCAAGAAACAAACCACGUGACGUAAACGACACACACGUGUUGCGCGUAUCGCAAGAAUCACGUUUCCGUUUAAAAAGCAUAGAUGGACACGCGUUACUCGCUCUUAUAUGUCUUACAGCGAAAAUAACACGCUGAAUUCGCGGUUCAAUUCUUGAAUUAUAAAUCGCAAUUAGAUCGAUUCUCGAGUGUCACGUGCACCGGCCUACUCGUGUCGCUCGGUUGCGCAACGUGACACUACCCCAGAAGUUAAUGAUGCAAUUUAAAUGACAACGCUAUAUGUAAACACGAAUAUGCAUAUGCAAACACGUAUAAACGAUAUGGACAUUUUUUCCUUUUUCUUUUUCCUUUUUUUUUUCUUUUUAAUAAGCGAAUUAAUUAAAAUGAUUUUUAUUACGGAUUCAAGAUAUAUGGAUUAAUAAUUGAAUGUCGUUGAAAUUCAAUUCAACGAAAUACGCCGUUUCCCGCAAUAUUAUUAAUAAUGCGCGAUGACUUGAUUAAACGGCCACGAUGAAUGAUCGUACGACGCAAUUGCAUAUAUAUAAUUUCCUGUUUUUUCCUUUUUUCUUAUCUUGAUUCGCGGAUAUUUUAUUUUUAAUCGAUAGCUACACAUUAGACACUGAAGACAGCGUGUCGUAUUAAGCAUUGAGAGAUUAUCAUUCAGAGACCAUUAUCAAGUUGCACGAUAUUAGCUGACCUCCUGAUAACGUUAUAAAUAGGAGGGGGGAAAAAAGUGCGAUUGGGAAAAUAAGAUCACACAAGGCUAUUUAUCAAUUGCCCAUUAAUGCGCUUUUACGAGUACAAUUUUGUUGCGGUCACGUUUUUAUAAAUCUCGAGGUUCAACAUGGACGAUUAACCAAUUUAUCUGUCCGAUUAUCUUUCGAAUUCGAGGAAAACAAGAAUAUUUGAUUAAUCUCCUCGUGAAAAGAUUAUGCAUUGAUUAGGAACACGGUCUCGUUGUCACGCGUGAAUCGUCACAAAUGGUUGCGCAACGUAAUGGCACGCGCACUGGCCUCCAACAAAUUUACGCGGCGUGUCUUAACAUUUUUUCCCAUGAAUCACGCACGGAAAUUCUAUUUUCCAUGAACCAAGUAUUCCUUUUAAUCUUCGACGGGUGCACAGAUGAUCUCGUUAAUAAUCUCGUACUGGAAAUUUGGGCAUUUGUUUUUCUUCCGACGCCGGCUUUUCGGCGAAUACGGCAUGCAACUGCAACGAACAGACGGAUACAGCACUCGCCGGUCUUCGAAGAAAUUUAUUUCACUUCCUCCGCACGAAUUAAUUUUUCGCCGAAUCCGUUGCACGAUCUAACUGGAAAUCGCACGGAAAAGGCCCAAUUGAUGAUCGAAUUAAACAGACGGAGUUGAAAAUUGAGGAUAGAUUACAAGUUUAGAAAUUGUAUUUCAAAAUUCUUUUAUACGUGUUUAUUUGAUUUUUCUCAAGAGAAAUUAGAUAAUAUACAGUAACGUGACAGAGAAAGAAAUUAAUAUUAUUGUUAUAUUUAUAUUUGUUGACCUUGCUCAACAAGUAGAAAAACUAUCGUAGUAAAAAACAGAAAUGAAAAAAUCACUAUUACAUAAUAACGGUCUUAUCGUAUUUUCCUCGAAUAUAGGAGACUGUUAACGAUAGAGAAACACACGACUGGAUGAAAUACAAUACGAAGAAUACGUAGCAGGGUUAAACGUGCGUUAUCGCCCUUUGCCGUACUUCGAGGCGCGCAUUGUUCGCGUUCUUUUCUUCUGUUUGCUCCAAAUUGUCUCAACUCGGCCGCGUGACGCACGGUUAUGUAACGACAAAAGCACGCUGUUCUCCGUAACAGUGGUGACGGUGCGCAUUAUACACCGAAUGCUAUAUAACUCCCCCCCUCCCACCCGUCCGCACCUUCCUUCGCUUUCUCGUUCUUUCCUCGUCCGACGUAGACGUUUUCUAGCCUCCUAUUCCCCACUCUCUCUUAUCGGCGUCUUAAGGACACGACCGUUAUAACUGGACACGCGAGUUACCAAAUUCUCCUUGCUUCGUGUCCAAACGACGUUACCGAUCGAUUUCUUCCGGAGAAAUAUCUCUCGAGUCGGUCGGAUUUACACUUGUCGGAUAGACAGACGCGUUACGUAAUGUUAUACGUGCGUGGGCGUGUUCCAAAAUCCCUUCAUUCACGCCGCACGCUCAUCGGCCGAGAAUCUGCUUCGAGUCUCCAUUUUCGGAUGAUCUUGCAGCACACCGGGCGUCAAUUUUAGGACAUGUACCGACGAUCGGUACAUAUCUUGACCGAUCGAGUCGAGAAACGUGGAUAGGAUAAACGCGUUGGCGUUAUCGCAGUUGGAUCGCAACUAUUUCGUUUUCUGCUUUCUUUUAUUUUUUCGCGAGACAUUUUUAGCGGUUAGAGGCGGGCGGUAUUUAAACGAGAAGGGGACGAUAGAGCGGAGAGCGAGCGUUCCAAAAAUGCGGGGAUAGAAACGCGGCGCGGGCCUGAAAUAGUUCUCGGAGUACGUCGAACUUUAAGUACAGUACAUAAAGGCACGUGCACAAUGCCAGCCACUCGAUACGGCUCGGCCGUGCGUGUUACGAUUGCGGUCAGCGCUCACGUAACAGCCGACCGCUGAUACCGUUAUCGGACCGACACAGGCAUUUCGAACCGGUCUCCGAUUUCGUUUCCCGCUCAUUAUGCAAUUGGCCCGCGAUAACGCGAUCGCCAACCGAAAAAAACAAAAAGGCAGAACACGCGACACGCAACGACAUCCUUCUUCUCCUUCUCCUUCUUCUACUCUUUUUUCUCCGUUUUUUUUUUGCUACCUCGGCUCCCAUUGUUCACGCCUCGGUGAGCAACGUUACUUCGCGCAUCCUGUUCGAUUUUGGAGCACUUCGUUUAUAUACAGUUAAACGAAACGGUUACGGUCUGCUCACGCGCGUAUGGCCAUCGGGGGCAAAAAUAUACGCGAUUGAUGAUGAAAUGAUCUUGAAAUCUUGGGAUGGAUGGUGGAAUAUAAGAAACAGUGACGUAACAGAAGUCUGGGAAAUUAUACAAUAGCCAGAUAAACGAGCAAUGAACUGAAAGUCGGAGCGCGGACGUUGAUCGAUUCAAUAAGCCGGUUCAUUUAUUUCCGAAUAGAACCAGCCAUAUCGAAAACUCGUGUUUAUAAAUCUCUCUCGCUCGAUUUAUUAUUUAUUCGCAGAAAUAAAUACCUGGAAUUUACACGAAAUAUUUUUUCCCCUUUUUCCUCUCCUCGCGCCUUUCUUACAGUCAAUUCAAAUCGUAUUAUUCUAUUAUACGCCCGCUCCUUUCAAUACGAUACGCCGGCUCAACCUUGACUGCCACCAUUCGACUAUUUUCGUCCGCGAUAAUUCGUGGCCCAUUUAGAAGCACGCGCGAUGAUAGUAGUGUUUCGUUCGUUAUCUCGAGACGUGCAAACAAUAAUGAAAUCGUUGGUAAAAAUAUAUCGGCGGUAAAAAUAACGCCAUGGGAAAGAAAGAUGCAAGGAGGGAGAA